AGAACGAACGCUUGCGGCGCGCCUAAUACAUGCAAGUCGAGCGAGAAAGUCCUUCGGGAUGAGUACAGCGGCGGACGGGUGAGGAAUACGUAGAUAAUCUGCCUUAAAGAGGGGGAGUGACUACUCGAAAGAGUAGCUAAUACCGCAUAAGACCACAGGGGCUUCGGCUCUAGGGGUUAAAGGAGCAAUCCACUUUAAGAUGAGUCUGCGCCCGAUUAGCUAGUUGGUAAGGUAAUGGCUUACCAAGGCUACGAUCGGUAAC
This 262-nucleotide ribosomal RNA is filed under the name uncultured bacterium. Its description in RNAcentral is "partial small subunit ribosomal RNA". It matches the Rfam family "Bacterial small subunit ribosomal RNA", at positions 26 to 287 of the family's 1533-position model. The record is from RNAcentral.